RNAcentral lists this long non-coding RNA (221 nucleotides) under Physcomitrium patens. Its description in RNAcentral is "long non-coding RNA (PPAT_LNC013267)". The record is from RNAcentral. Lineage: Eukaryota; Viridiplantae; Streptophyta; Bryopsida; Funariales; Funariaceae.
UAUGAUUGAGAGCCUACAAAGCACAAUAAUGACUGAACAAUUUGAUGUGCAGAUAGAGUGACCUGUAAACGGUACACCUCACAACCAGUUAACGCAGUAGUCAAUGCUAAGAAAUAGCCUCUCCUUUCUUCACCCAACGCAGAAAAACAAACAAAGUUUGCGAAAAACUGCACAGCCUGUUCAAGGUUAUCAUCGCCCAAUAAGUUCUCGUGUAAUUCAAC